GAUGAACGCUGGCGGCGUGCCUAAUACAUGCAAGUCGAGCGAACAGAUAAGGAGCUUGCUCCUUUGACGUUGGCGGCGGACGGGUGAGUAACACGUGGAUAACCUACCUAUAAGACUGGGAUAACUUCGGGAAACUGGAGCUAAUACCGGAUAACAUAUUGAACCGCAUGGUUCAAUAGUGAAAGGCGGCUUUGCUGUCACUUAUAGAUGGAUCCGCGCCGUAUUAGCUAGUUGGUAAGGUAACGGCUUACCAAGGCAACGAUACGUAGCCGACCUGAGAGGGUGAUCGGCCACACUGGAACUGAGACACGGUCCAGACUCCUACGGGAGGCAGCAGUAGGGAAUCUUCCGCAAAGGGCGAAAGCCUGACGGAGCAACGCCGCGUGAGUGAUGAAGGUCUUCGGAUCGUAAAACUCUGUUAUCAGGGAAGAACAAAUGUGUAAGUAACUGUGCACAUCUUGACGGUACCUGAUCAGAAAGCCACGGCUAACUACGUG
RNAcentral lists this ribosomal RNA (497 nucleotides) under uncultured bacterium. RNAcentral's name for it is "partial 16S ribosomal RNA". It matches the Rfam family "Bacterial small subunit ribosomal RNA", at positions 28 to 507 of the family's 1533-position model. The record is from RNAcentral.